This 811-nucleotide ribosomal RNA is filed under the name Escherichia coli. RNAcentral describes it as "partial 23S ribosomal RNA". It matches the Rfam family "Bacterial large subunit ribosomal RNA", at positions 376 to 1191 of the family's 2925-position model. Lineage: Bacteria; Pseudomonadati; Pseudomonadota; Gammaproteobacteria; Enterobacterales; Enterobacteriaceae. The record is from RNAcentral.
UACACAAAAAUGCACAUAUUGUGAGCUCGAUGAGUAGGGCGGGACACGUGGUAUCCUGUCUGAAUAUGGGGGGACCAUCCUCCAAGGCUAAAUACUCCUGACUGACCGAUAGUGAACCAGUACCGUGAGGGAAAGGCGAAAAGAACCCCGGCGAGGGGAGUGAAAAAGAACCUGAAACCGUGUACGUACAAGCAGUGGGAGCACGCUUAGGCGUGUGACUGCGUACCUUUUGUAUAAUGGGUCAGCGACUUAUAUUCUGUAGCAAGGUUAACCGAAUAGGGGAGCCGAAGGGAAACCGAGUCUUAACUGGGCGUUAAGUUGCAGGGUAUAGACCCGAAACCCGGUGAUCUAGCCAUGGGCAGGUUGAAGGUUGGGUAACACUAACUGGAGGACCGAACCGACUAAUGUUGAAAAAUUAGCGGAUGACUUGUGGCUGGGGGUGAAAGGCCAAUCAAACCGGGAGAUAGCUGGUUCUCCCCGAAAGCUAUUUAGGUAGCGCCUCGUGAAUUCAUCUCCGGGGGUAGAGCACUGUUUCGGCAAGGGGGUCAUCCCGACUUACCAACCCGAUGCAAACUGCGAAUACCGGAGAAUGUUAUCACGGGAGACACACGGCGGGUGCUAACGUCCGUCGUGAAGAGGGAAACAACCCAGACCGCCAGCUAAGGUCCCAAAGUCAUGGUUAAGUGGGAAACGAUGUGGGAAGGCCCAGACAGCCAGGAUGUUGGCUUAGAAGCAGCCAUCAUUUAAAGAAAGCGUAAUAGCUCACUGGUCGAGUCGGCCUGCGCGGAAGAUGUAACGGGGCUAAACCAUG